RNAcentral lists this ribosomal RNA (462 nucleotides) under uncultured bacterium. Its description in RNAcentral is "partial 16S ribosomal RNA". It matches the Rfam family "Bacterial small subunit ribosomal RNA", at positions 29 to 507 of the family's 1533-position model. The record is from RNAcentral.
AGUGAACGCUGGCGGCGUGCCUAAUACAUGCAAGUCGAACGAACGAAUAAGAGCUUGCUCUUAUAAGUUAGUGGCGCACGGGUGAGUAAUAUAUAGCUAAUCUGCCUCUUAGUAGAGGAUAACAGUCGGAAACGAUUGCUAAUACUCUAUACUUCUGCUUUACAUAAGUAAAGUAGAGAAAGUUUUUCGCUAAGAGAUGAGGCUAUACUGUAUCAGCUAGUUGGUAAGGUAACGACUUACCAAGGCUAUGACGCAUAACUGGUCUGAGAGGAUGAUCAGUCACAUUGGAACUGAGACACGGUACAAACUCCUACGGGAGGAAGCAGUAGGGAAGAUUGAGCGAUGGGAGAAACACUGACGCAGCAACGCCGCGUGGAGGAUGACACUUUUCGGAGAGUAAACUCCUUUUAUCGGGAAAGAAUAAUGACGGUACCCGAUGAAUAAGCACCGGCUAACUACGUG